Molecule: small nuclear RNA, 104 nt
Organism: Fukomys damarensis (Damara mole-rat)
Lineage: Eukaryota; Metazoa; Chordata; Mammalia; Rodentia; Bathyergidae
Source: Ensembl
GUGCUUGCUUCUGCAGCACAUAUACUAAAAUUGGAACGAUGCAAAGAUUAACAUGUUCCCUGCACAAGGAUGACGUGCAAAUUCUUGAAGUGUUCCAUAUUUUU